GGAAGCUAUGGCGAUCCUUCGAUUAGCCCUAGUUUUCUCUAUAUUGACCUCAUUUUCGUUACUCGCCGGAUCUUCACCGUCCCCUUCAACGGAGUUGCAGAUCGUCACCGCCGAACGCAGAAUUGACUUGACAUCACACAUUGUGAAGGUGUUCUUGACAUUGAAGGUUGAAAAUAUUGGUGAAUCUCCUGCUUCAGAAGUCCUUCUUGCCUUCUCUCCCACAGAAGCUGAUCGUCUGGCAGUGGUAAAAGCAGCCGCUUCUGCUGGAAAGAAGAAAAAGAAAUCUUAUGUGCCUCUAGAUGUGAAGCCAACUGACCUGCCUGAUGGACCAAAUGGAACUAAGUAUUAUUUAAUACAUUUGCUUAAGCCAUUGGGUAAAGGUGAAGCCAUCUCGCUAGAAGUUCUUUAUAUAUUGACACAUUCUCUUGAGCCUUUCCCAGUAGAAAUAAGCCAGUCGGAGUCUCAAUUAGUUUAUUACCGUGACAGUGCAAAAAUCUUGUCACCUUAUCCUAUUAAACAACAAGCUACGUUCCUAAAAACACCAACUAGCAGGGUCGAGUCGUUCACAAGAGUUGUGCCUACAGAUCGUGCAAACACAGAACUAAGAUAUGGACCAUAUGAGGAGCAACCUUCAUUUUCAUAUUCACCUAUAAUUGUCCAUUUUGAAAACAAUAAGGCGUUUGCUGUGGUUGAGGAGCUUGUGCGCGAAAUUGAAAUCUCCCACUGGGGAAGCAUACAGGUUACCGAACAUUACAAAUUGGUACAUGCUGGUGCUCGGCAUAAAGGUGCUUUCUCGAGGGUUGAAUAUCAGUCUAGGCCAAACAGUGGUGCUUCCUCAUUCAAGAAUCUUCUUGCAGAAUUGCCACCAAGGGUCCAUUCUGUCUACUACAGGGAUAACAUAGGGAACAUUUCGUCCUCUCGCUUGCGCACAAAUUUUAAGAAGUCAGAGCUGUUAAUAGAACCACGGUAUCCUUUAUUUGGAGGCUGGAAAUCUACUUUUGUCAUUGGAUAUGGGGUUCCACUAGAGGACUUCCUUUUUGAGGCAGCUGAUGGCACACGUUACCUGAAUUACAGUUUUGGAUGUCCGCUUGCAGAAACUGUUGUUGACAAGUUGACUGUCAAAGUUGUGCUGCCAGAAGGAUCAAAGAACCCAUCCACUGUGGUUCCUUUUCCUGUGGAACAACGGACUGAGAGGAAAUACUCAUAUCUUGAUGUUGUGGGAAGGACAGUGGUGGUCCUGGAGAAAUCCAAUGUAGUUCCUGAGCACAACUCCCCUUUCCAGGUCUAUUACCAAUUCAGCCCCAUUUACAUGCUUGCAGAGCCAUUGAUGUUGACUUCUGUCUUCUUCCUUUUCUUUAUGGCUUGUGUGACUUAUCUACAUUUAGACUUUUCAAUUAGCAAGAUCAAGCAAACAUGAGUUUUGACACUAUUGAGAGAACUUUUGACUGUGAGAUUAAAUAUUAGUAGAAGCAGCUGCAACUUCCAGUCAACCAAAGGUAGAAGACAUUGUAUGAAUUGUAAUCAACUAAAUUGGAUUUUGAGAACAUCUAUUGUUGUUUACCUUUAGAUCAUGUCUUCUUACAACUACUGUAUUGGUCUUGCAUCUGAGAGAUGGUAUGCAGAGAACUGCUUACAGGUUCGUCUUUUCGUCUAAUAUAUAUAGAUUUGACGAUCAAAUGUCU
RNAcentral lists this unclassified non-coding RNA (1682 nucleotides) under Hevea brasiliensis (rubber tree). The record is from RNAcentral. Lineage: Eukaryota; Viridiplantae; Streptophyta; Magnoliopsida; Malpighiales; Euphorbiaceae.